Felis catus (domestic cat) is the source of this 9956-nucleotide long non-coding RNA. RefSeq lists it as uncharacterized. The record is from RefSeq and is a predicted model, not a curated record. Lineage: Eukaryota; Metazoa; Chordata; Mammalia; Carnivora; Felidae. The transcript has 2 exons.
UUAAAAAAAAAAACAACAGCUAAUAGUUAACACGGGCUUACUGGGCUCUGUUCUGAGUGUGUAUUGACUUUGUGUGUUUGGACUCAUUUAAUCCAACAAAAGCUCUAUGAGAUCGCUAUUGGUAUUAUCCCCAUUUUUACUGAUGAGAAACUGAGGCAGAGAGUUUUAUUAGAGUUACAAAGCCAGGCAGUCUUCCCUUAAAACCAGUCACCUGUACCAGGAACAGCAGCAUCUUCAUUAUCGCCAAAAAACUUUUAUUGGAUAGUUAGGACAGGCAUGUGAACUGUCUCACGUGCAUUCUCGCAUUUAAUGCUCUCACCCCAUAAGGAAGUACAAUUAUUAUUCCCCAUUUUACAGAAGAGAAUACCGAGGCUUACAUAGUUAUGUGCCCAAGGUCACAGAACUAUUCGGUGCCAGGUCGGGAACAAUGGAUCUGUCAGAUUCUUUCCCACUGUGACAGUCGCCUGUAAGGAUAGGAUUCUGAAUCUGGCAGCACAUCAUGCCCUUAAUAAAGCCAUCAGCAUAUCAGCAAAGAAAUUAAAAAUGCCCUGGGAGGCCCUCUGGAGAAAUGGCAGAUUCUACGGCUGGGGCUGAAAACACGGGGUGAGCUUGGGGCAUUUUACACUGACAGAAAGUAAAGUCGUGCUCAGAACAAAGCAAAUCACAAAAAGGAUGAAGGCGUGUCAGGAGGACACAGGGGCAAACCGGAAGAAGUUCCCAGUGUCCAAACCCGGAACAUUUUGGGCACUGAAUACAUACCAGUAGCAUUAGAUUAUAAGUCAAAGAAAAAACAAACACCCAUGAGUCCGUACUGAUAAAAAAUAAAUGACCAAAUAAAUAAAUGAGUAGAAGAGAAAAACCGUCCUUAAAGAAGGAUUCCAAAUUGUAAAUGUAGAAGGAAUGAGGAAAGUACAAAAUCGCCUUAGAGCCCUGUGGUAAUAAUGGUGGCAGGCAAGAUCCUCUGAGGAAUGUGAAAGUUGGCGGGCGAGGCUUUAAGGAGAAACGGGAUCUUUGUAUCGCCCCAGAUUAUCUACCCAAAAAUAAUAAUUACUGUGGUGGUUUUCACAUAUAUCCACAAAUUCGUUGAUACUCCUUCCUCUAGAAUAGGAGUUUCAUUCCUUUUCCCCGGAGUGUGGGCUGGAUUUAGUGACUUACUGGUAACAAAGAAAGUAACAUGGAGCAUCUGGUGGCUCAGUCAGUUAAGCGUCCAGCUCCAGCUCAGGGCAUGAUCUCACGGUUCGUGGGUUCAAGUCCUGCAUCGGUCUCUGCGCCAUCAGUGCAGAGCCCGCUUAGGAUCCUCUGUCUCCCUCUCUCUCUGCCCUUCCCCUGCGCAUGCUGCAUGCUCUGUCUCUCUCUUUCUCAAAAAUAAACACUAAAAAAAUCUUUAAGAAAAGUAGUAACCUUACUGUUGCAAAACCUGACAGGCACCACCUUAACCAAGUGGUCAAGGUUAACAUCAGCUGUAGCGUUGUACUCAUAUCACGAACCCCCUGAUUCAAUGUCUUGAGAAAGGCACUUCCCCUGUGUGGUCUUCUUCCCAACAAUUCACACCCCAGUCCGGUCAUGAGAAAACAGCAGACAAACCCAAAUUGAGGCACAUUUUACAAAGUACCUGACCGAUGCUCUUCAAAAGUGUCAAGGUCAUGAAAGACCAGGGAAGCCUGAGAAACCGUCACAGACUGGAGAACACUAAGGAGGCAUGACAAGUAAAUACAACGUGAUAUUCUGGACUGAAUUCCAAGAACAGAAAAAAGAUAUGAGUGAGGAAAAAAUAAAAAUUAAAAAAUUGCCCCACCUGUGCUUUCAAAUUAAGAGCACAGAGACUCACUGAAAGUUAGCCAGAGCUGCCCUGCUUUGGCUCCAGGGACCUUGUGAGGGUGCCCAGAGGGAAGGGAUGUGACAAGUGGCAGGGAAGCAGCACAGAGAUGAUAGCAGGACUCCGAGGAGGGGACAUGAUUAGCUGUGACAGGAAAGAGAGGGGUGGUGGGAGAGCAAAGGAAGGGGAGUCUGCACUUCAGGCCGUUUGUUUUACUUGGCUACCCUGCCCCAUCAGUUCCGGUGCCUCUUAGCUGCCUCUCUUCCUCCUGUACCUAUUGCCUUUUAAUAUACUGCAUGAUUGUGCUAAUGCUGUUUGUCUGUCCAGAUGCCUCUCCACUCUUUUCCGCUCUGCUCUGUGCCCCAGGGGACUCCCUGCCUGCGGCUUCCCUGGGGGCCAGCCAGUGGGGGGCACAGGCAGGAGCCCUGAGAAUAAAGGAGAAUGGGGUCCAGUCCUGAGGCUCCCACCCCACCUGGGGUGCCUGGCCUGGCCUGGCCAGGUCCCUCUAGCAGAGGCCACAGCCCCCACCCAGAGUUCUCACUGGGUUCUGGUGACUGCCCCUUCUCUUGCCCUGUUAGACUCACGCGUGGGCACUGAUUCCCCCACAGUGGGUAGUUCUCGGGUGCAACUCCGUUUUCUCUUUCUCAAAGAGAAACUCUCAAAGUCUCAAACCCUGAAGUCCGCCCACAUCUUGGUAAAUCCUCUCAUGAAACUUGUCUCGAUUACUCAAUUGACUAAGUCAUCUGUUUCCUGCUGGGAUCACAACUGAUGGAAAAAGUUACUAUAUUUAUUGUCCAUUGUUUAUCUUCCCCUUUAGAACAUAAACUCUAUGAGGGCAGAAAUGUUAAGUACUCCCUUCGCUGCCAUGACACUCUGUAAAUAAAUAUCUGUUGGAUAAAUGAGUGGAUGUUCAUUCUACCCGUACUGUCUCACACGGUAAUCACUCAUCGCAUGUGGCUGUUGAGCACUCGAAAUGUGGCUGGUAGGACUGAGAAACCAUUUUAAAUCGUACUUAAUUUUCAUUUCCAUAGCCACAGUCCUAGUCUAUGGAAAUUUCCCGAGCAUAAGGCAAUUCUGGAGCUACUGAUGUCCGCACUGCCCCAGGAGGAGUCUGGAGGGUGGCCCGGUGGUCUCAAAUGUUUGCUUCGCCCUGGCGAACUGCGGUGCUGGCCUUCUUGUAGGCUCAGGAAUGUGUGCCUUGUUUUUAUACAUUUACAUUUUCAUUUCCCUGCAAACUGUCCAUUUCUUGGAUAAUAGAGUUACAGUGUGCUCACCAGGCCCUUACAAACUUGCAGCUUACAAAAGAGCUCUGGCCCCUGGCCAAGGGAGUCUCCAGCUGCUGACUGACCCUGCCUGGAAAGUCAACUUGGAAGAGACGCAAAUGUCCUAAUCCUCUUCCAAACCACUCUAAGUAGGUUUUAUCCAGUGACCUGUAAAACCAAAUUAGUAAAGGGACACUUUAAUUCCAGCUCAUUAGAGAGCUUCUAAAAUCUUUGAGAAAGCCAACACAGCAAAUUUCUGUGCUGGGGGGGCUGAGAAACGCAUCCCAUUUCCAAAAGCAAAAUGUCCUUGCUUUCUUCUGGUUCUUGCACAUCACUCGACACGCAGAAAGAUGUUUUCUGAGGCUUUCACAGGGCUCUCCAGUGAGGUGGGGAGCGGUUCCUGCGAGGGAGAAAAAUAUGGUGGCCUAGGGAGGUCAAGUGAUUUUCCCCAAGUUCUGCCAAGUCCAGUCCCAGCUCUGGUCUCCUGACUCUGGUGCAGGGAACAUUUGCACUGUUCUUAUUAUUACCCCAGGAGCUGGCUUAUUGCACAAUAUCAGGAAAUAGUCCAUAUGAAAUCCUGGCCCACAAAGCAUACAUGUUCUGCUUUUUAUUCUGCAGCUUUUUUAUAAAGUGUGUUUUCCUUUCCCAUAAUGUCAUCUGGAAGCAAUUCCUCCCAACAGCUGGAUUUGCUUUCACAAUUGGUAAACACGUAAAAUGGAAGGCAGGGGAAGAUGCGGAGUGUCACCAGAGGAGCCUUUCCCCCACCCGCUUGGCUCGUGUUCUGAGGCUUAUCUUGGGUCUCUGCACAAGCCUCAUCAAAACUGAGAACGUCUUCAAACAAGCGACCCACACUGCGUUCCCUCCUUCAGGGGGUCAGCAUGUUCUUUGGGGGAGAAAUUUUCUGAAUACUUUGCAGAUAAAAUCGAUCAGAUGCAGACCAGAUUGCCAGCCGCCAAGAUCUCGGAGCUACACGUGGAGGCCAGCAAAGCAGCACCUUCUCCAAGACCUCACCAUCCUGGUACAGUCAGGACCUCUGGGGUCCUGCAGGAAGCCUCCCGCAGGGCACAGCCUUCCCAGAGCCACUGCCACCAAAGCCAAUACAGGACGAGAGCCCAAAGAGCACCGACUAGGUCAUCAAAGAAAAUGAAUGUCCCCCCCCCACCCCCCCAUGUGCUCCCGAGGAACAAGUUUUCACGCAGGCACAAACAGAAGGCAGCCAGUACUCCGGAAGGCCAAGAGCACAGCUGUCAUCUGGGUGUUGGCUCACACCCUCUCCACUCUGUCUCCAGGGUCUCGGGGGCCGCUUCUCUAGGGGUUCACCAACAUGGUUAGUUCUGGUCCAGGAGGUUCAGGGCACAGUUUAAGCUGGAAUACAGUGCCGGGGGGCAAAGCUGAGGCUUCAGGCACUCUCCUCCCACAUAAGAAAUGCUAUUCUUUGAUCAAAGUUUCAAAUUUGGAAGAAAUCAACCUAGCAUAUGGCUCAACUCUCAGAGGGAGCACGAGAGUAUGCCGUUGACCAGGCAGCCCUACAGAGAUGCAGAAGAGGGUAUGUGUCACCCGGCCCAGCGGCGGGGAUGACCUCAACACGGUGCCGGCCAGAUGGGGAGAGAGUGGGGGGUAGGAGGGGCUUCCUUCCAAGCACCACCAACCCUCUGGGUAGCCAGGGCCCCACUUCCUGUGAGGGAGCUUCCCUGUGCUGUGGACCCUUGGCUGCAAAGUCCAACUGGAAGAGAGGAGCACCCCGCCCACUGAACCAGCAAAAGUUGCCGAUCAGGAGCAGGGCUCACCGGAGGACCCUGAGGAGGCUGACUGCCCAGCUCCUCAGCACAAGCUGCAAACGGAGCCCCUUUGCCUAGGCCCAUGGUGGGUGGAGUGCACUCUUUCUCGGGUCUGCCUCUUUCCUGGGGUCCAUCUUCUCUCUCUGUCCUCCAGGAAGAGGCUGUAUCUUGUCUGGAGUCAAGGAACAGAAAUUUCACUGUACAGUUUUCCAAAUCUCAUGCCUCAUAUCCGAAAUGUCGAAACUCCGUGUUUCUAGUUGCAGGCCAAGGCUGCUCCCUCCAGACCCUGGUCACUCUGGUCUGAUCGCCUGCACUGCUGGGAGGGCCCUCGGAGUCCACUCGGUGAGAUUCACUGAAGCCCAGGGGGGUGGGUGGGUGACAGCAACCCCCUGGUUAAUACUUCAAAGUGACCCUCUAGAUUAAAGCAACUAGAGUUCUAACAACCAUAUGCAAUGGGUGCACCUUGUUUGGAUCCUGAUUCAAAUGUACCAACCGUAAGGAGACAUCUUGGGAUAUUUCAAGAAAAUCUGAAUUUGGACUGGGUAUCGGAAAACAUUUAAGAACUUAUUGUUAAUUUUGAUAAGUAAGUGUGGAAAAAAACAUAAAAAAUAAAUAUGUAAACAAAUUUUUAUAUGUGUGAUAAUGGUGUUGUGGUUAUAUAAGACAAUGCCCUCAUCUUUUAAAAAGUAUACCCCUAAGUAUUUGGAAGUGAAAUAUGACAUCUGGGAUUUAUUUUAAAAUACUUAAGAAAAAAACAUCAUGAUGGGUACAGCUAGGUGCCUCAGUUGGUUGAGUGUCUGACUCUUGAUCUCAGGUCUUGAGCUCAGGUUCGUGAUUUCAAGCCCCAGGUUGGGCAUGGAGCCUACUGAACAGAAAAACACAUGAUGAAACAAAGAUGGCAUCUUAGUCCAUUUGGGCUCCUGUAACAGAGUUCUAUAAACUGGGUACAAACAACAAAAAUUGUUUUUCACAGUUCUGGAGGCUGGAAAUCCCAGAUGGAGGUGCCAGCAAAUUCUAAUGAGAGCCCACGUCCUGGUUCAUAGAUGGUGCCUUCUCAUUGUAACCUAACGUGGCGGAAGGGUGACUAAUAAGGGCACUGACACUGCACAGACUGAACUGGAGCCCCAGUGGUUGUGACGUCAGGUGGUAGCUAUGACAUUUCACUCGUCAGCGGGUCCGUGGAAGUCCAAACUCAGUCUGCAAAGGGCGAAUGGAGAAGGUCAGUGUAUACAGUUCGAAAGUGUGGGUGCUUCAAAAGCCGAAUGUACAAAAGUUGAAAAUGUUGCCCAGCUCCAGCUAGAACGUAAGUGUCUUGCAGACAGGAAUGUUGUCCAUUUUGUACACAGCGGUAUCCCAGUGCCUAGACAGGGUCCUGCACACGGUAGAUGCUUCAUGCUUUCUGGAUUCAUGAACUGCCCGUGCUUUGGAAUUCUGGCAGCCACUUGUCACAUUGUACUGUAUAUACCGGUAUCACAUUGAACUUAAAGAUUGACAGUAUCUUGGAAGCAGAAGGAAGCCUUUUUUCUCUUGCGACAUCUACAUCGUCCAUAACUGAGAUUCAAUAAAUGCACAUUGGCCAGGUAGAAGUACCUUUGUAUUGUUGGGAGCUAGCUAGUGAUUAAACAGUUUAAAAACAAAAUCCCUCACUGGUCAUGAGAAAAACCAUAGCUCAUGCUACAGAAAUGGACAAUUGCUGAAGCCCCCAGAAGUUUCUCAAGUACUGUGUGGCAGGGAAGUAGAUUUCCUGCCCCAGAAAUCUGGCAAAAGAAUUCACUUGAGGAUUUAAGUCUGAGAAAAAAAAGACCCAAGAAAGGAGGCAGAGAAGGGGAGGUCUUUUCCAGGGCCUAGAGAUUAAGGCUAUUUAGAUACCACUUAAGAAAGGAACCAGAUGCCAGCCAGGUUUGUGCUUCGGUUUAACCGUGUUCUCUGCAAAACUUGCUUAUGGGAAGAUCAGAAGCUCUGACGAUCAUUACUGAAGAGGAUUCAGAGAAAUUAUCGUCUACUCCCGGUUGAAGAGAGAACAAGUCCUGAUCUUUUUUUGGUGUCAACCUCUACUGAAAUGUGCUGUUGUCAAAUCAAAAAGGGGAUAGAUUCGAAUUUUACAACUCUGAUGAAAGUGAAAUAAAAGGAAAUCUGUAUCAUCUUAAUCAAAGCAUGUGCCACCUGAGUCGGCUCCCUGUCUCGUCCCUUGGCCUUGGUGACUCUCAUGUGCUGGAGGUUAAGGGUUUGUUAAAGAAGAUGGGUUUUGAUUAAGUGUCACAUUUAGUGUGAUGUGACAUGCUCUUUAUCAUUGCAAGGGAAGAUUGGGGGACCAGGGGGAGCUUUAUAGCUAGUUCCCAAUAUAAAUUAGGAGUCUUGGGGAAUGGGUACUUUGCAGUUGGCCUUGAUCUUUCCAGGGCCCAAUGAAUGUGUGUAUGUGAGAGUGUGCACACAUGUAUGUGUGUGUGUGUGUGUGUGUGCGCGCGUGUGUGUGCGUAGGGAUGGCAGAAAAGUCAGUUUUCACGUGCCUGCGCUAAUGGGCUGGUUACCCCACUUGGAGUUUGACUGGCAAUUGUAACAUAAGCCUCCAGCUCUAAAUUUGUCCAUGUUCUUGAUAUGGGGCAAAGUUCUCCCUGCCUUUUACUUCUUUGGAAUUUCACUGUUGCUUAGGGAAAUCUCAGAUUUUGGCUUAAACUGGAGUAGUGAGAGCACAGUGAAAACGGGGGUACAGUAAAUCCCCAGAGUGCUCCUGAAGGCAGGGGGUGGGGAUUGAGGGAGACAUCCCAGAAGGAACCAUUCCCAUCCAAAAGGCACCUCACCCCGCCUCCAGAUCAAUUUUUCUAAAAUAUCACUUGUGGAGCUCCUAGCUGGCUCAGGGGAGCAUGCAACUCUCAAUCCUGCAGCUGUGAGUUCGAGCCACACAUUGGGUAUAAAUACUAUUUGAACAAAUAAACUUAGGAAAAAAAAGACUCUCGUCAAGUCAGAACCCUUCCAUAAAUACCCUUUCCUUCCCUCCCAUUGCCUUUAUGCCACAAGAAUAAAGGAAAUCCACACCCUUUGUUCCAGCAUUCAAUGCCAUACAUCCUGGCACUGCCAAAUUGGCCUACUUACUUCCUCUCAAAUGACUUAGCUUUUAUCUUGCAGCGUUUGCUUGUCACUCCCCUGUGUGGAAUGCCUUUUCUGUUUCUCUCACCUAUGGCAAGAUGGCGCCCAUCUUCCAAACAUUGGCUACGGCCCUUUCCUUUUUAUGAGGGAGUCACGGCCCACUUGAGACAAUGCCUCUUUUUAUCCCAAAAAUCUGAAUGGAGCUUCUACUAAGUGCCCAGAACUGCUCUAGACACCUGGAUUAGGUCAGAGAACAAGACGAAGACACCUGCCUUCAAGGAGCAUGCGCCGUAGUCAUCAGGAGGAUUGUGCGGUAAACUUAAAAGACAACUCAAAAAUAUUACUAUAUGAUAAGUUACUAUGGAGAGAAGAAGAAGAAGAAGAAGAAGAAGAAGAAGAAGAAGAAGAAGAAAACAGAGCAGGGUAAAAGAGAUCAGGAGCUCCCACUGUUUGAGGCCAGGGGCUGGCUACAGUAUUACAGGAUGACCAGGGUAGGUCUCAUAGAGGGAUGUGUGGACCAAGAAACUAGAAGAAAAUCCAUAAUGUCGAAUAACAAACGGAAAGGCCUCCAGGGGCACCUGGGUGGCUCAGCUGGUUGAGUGACUGACUUCGGCUCAGGUCAUGAUCUCCUGUAAGUUCAAGCCCUGCAUGGGGCUCUCUGCUGUCAGCACAGAGCCUGCAUUGGAUCCUCUGUCCCCCCUCUCUCUCUACCCCUCCCCCACUUGUGCCCCUGAGCUCGUGCUCUCUCUCUCAAAAAUAAACAUUUUUUAAAAAAGAAAGGCCUCCAAUGUUUGGUUCAACCAGUUCACGUGACAUUAAGGAAGAAGUUAGGCAAGGAAUGGAGAAAUGCUUAGGUUUUUAUUGCUAUGUUCAAAAGUAAUUUUUUUUAAUUAGAAAAAUUAUUUACUUUUACUCCUUCCCUACAUCUUACUGUUCAGGAAACCAUCUUACAGACGUAUCUGCAAUAAUGUACUGUUCCCAAUCUGUUUAAAGGCAACGCAGCAUAGGGAAACACCAUCAGCGGUCCAGACUUCUCAGCUUAUGGGAUCUUGCUUCCUGAUUUUACAUGAAAUCCUGAAACUUAGAAGUGUUUUCUCCAAAAAGGAGAAAACAGGGCAUUGUAAAAGAAAAAUCACUUUAUUCAGUAUCACAGUUUUAGAAAUGGAAUAUAUUUUCUUUAAGGAACGAGAAGCUUUUUUCUCAACUGUUAUUGGUUUGUCAGUAUAGGUCAGCAGGAAGAAACAUUAACAAGCCUGGCUCUUCAAUAUCAAGACAUCUAGUCCAAGCGAUGGUAUGCUUUCUUCCUUUUCAGAGAUGCUUCUUUUUCUGGUGCUUUCCAUCCUUUUCCACGUUUCAUAUUAGAGGAUCAGGACAACCUUUAAAACUUCCUGAACAAGAGCAAGUCCAUAGCCUCUGAUUUCUUCCCAAAAGGCUUUCCAACCCGUGACUGUUCCAGCCACCAAACAAACCAACAGGACACAGAAGAGCCCAAUGUGUAGAAGAAAUCUCCUGAGUUGUGGGAUGUUGGGUGCACUGGAUUGGUCCAGCAUUAUGAAACAGAAACUUCCCCGCUAUCCAUUGUAAACAGGAAGCUGGAUGCAAGUCCUUCCACACUAUAUUGGCCAUUUACUCCGUAGGCCAAGCAAGCUGCUGGCCUCUGACACCCAUGUUCAUCAGAGACAGAGCCAACGCUAGGAGGUUCUGCAACAACACCAUCAAUUGUUCCUCCCACGAUGCGGAUGUCAGAGGCCACCCGCAGGGCUUACACCAUCGUGGUCCUGCACCCAGGGCGACCUCUUCAGCUUCAGAUUGGGACCAUCCAGCCCAAGAACAAGACUUAUUAGUUCAAAGUGUCCGUGUUGGUGGUGGCAGGGGCAGCUCUCGGCCUCAGGCCCCACAUGCCACCUGGAAGCAGCUAAGGUAAUUUUUUAGACAUUAAAAUUAUAAAAGCAUUAACUGGCGAUUGCUUCUUGAUAUGGAAAAAAAAUAAUAAAUACACUUCAGAAAUUGCAAAUA